RNAcentral lists this ribosomal RNA (253 nucleotides) under uncultured bacterium. RNAcentral's name for it is "partial 16S ribosomal RNA". It matches the Rfam family "Bacterial small subunit ribosomal RNA", at positions 524 to 776 of the family's 1533-position model. The record is from RNAcentral.
AACGUAGGAGACAAGCGUUAUCCGGAGUUACUGGGCGUAAAGGGCGUGCAGGUGGUUGAGUAAGUCUGUUGUGAAAGCGCCUGGCUUAACCGGGCGAGGCCAAUGGAGACUGCUGAACUGGAGGACGGUAGAGGGGUGUGGAAUUCCGGGUGUAGUGGUGAAAUGCGUAGAGAUCCGGAGGAACACCAGAGGCGAAGGCGGCACCCUAAGCCGUACCUGACACUGAGACGCGACAGCACGGGGAGCGAACGGG